ACUGUCAGGUGGGCAGUUUGACUGGGGCGGUCGCCUCCCAAAAGGUAACGGAGGCGCUCAAAGGUUCUCUCAGUACGGUCGGAAAUCGUACGUAGAGUGUAAAGGCAAAAGAGAGCUUGAUUGCAAGACAUACAGGUCGAGCAAGGAUGAAAAUCGGACUUAGUGAUCCGGUGGUUCUGCGUGGAAGGGCCAUCGCUCAACGGAUAAAAGCUACCCUGGGGAUAACAGGCUUAUCUCCCCCAAGAGUCCACAUCGACGGGGAGGUUUGGCACCUCGAUGUCGGCUCAUCACAUCCUGGGGCUGUAGUAGGUCCCAAGGGUUGGGCUGUUCGCCCAUUAAAGUGGUACGCGAGCUGGGUUCAGAACGUCGUGAGACAGUUCGGUCCCUAUCCGUCGCAGGCGUAGGAAAUUUGAGAAGACCUGU
Molecule: ribosomal RNA, 423 nt
Filed under: Clostridioides difficile
Lineage: Bacteria; Bacillati; Bacillota; Clostridia; Peptostreptococcales; Peptostreptococcaceae
Description: partial 23S ribosomal RNA
Rfam family: Bacterial large subunit ribosomal RNA
Source: RNAcentral